GCGGGAGUAGCUCAGUGGUAGAGCGUCUCCUUGCCAAGGAGAAGGUCGCGGGUUCAAGUCCCGUCUCCCGCUCCA
RNAcentral lists this transfer RNA (75 nucleotides) under Armatimonadetes bacterium RBG_19FT_COMBO_69_19. Its description in RNAcentral is "tRNA-Gly". It matches the Rfam family "tRNA". Rfam says of the family: Transfer RNA (tRNA) molecules are approximately 80 nucleotides in length. The record is from RNAcentral. RNAcentral also lists the same sequence under 10 other names. Lineage: Bacteria; Bacillati; Armatimonadota.